GGGCUGCUAGCUCAAGGGUAGAGCAGCUGACUCUUAAUCAGUAGGUUCGGGGUUCGAAUCCCUGGCAGCCCACCA
This 75-nucleotide transfer RNA is filed under the name Sinimarinibacterium sp. NLF-5-8. Its description in RNAcentral is "tRNA-Lys". It matches the Rfam family "tRNA". From Rfam's summary of the family: Transfer RNA (tRNA) molecules are approximately 80 nucleotides in length. Their secondary structure includes four short double-helical elements and three loops (D, anti-codon, and T loops). Further hydrogen bonds mediate the characteristic L-shaped molecular structure. tRNAs have two regions of fundamental functional importance: the anti-codon, which is responsible for specific mRNA codon recognition, and the 3' end, to which the tRNAs corresponding amino acid is attached (by aminoacyl-tRNA synthetases). tRNAs cope with the degeneracy of the genetic code in two manners: having more than one tRNA (with a specific anti-codon) for a particular amino acid; and 'wobble' base-pairing, i.e. permitting non-standard base-pairing at the 3rd anti-codon position. Lineage: Bacteria; Pseudomonadati; Pseudomonadota; Gammaproteobacteria; Nevskiales; Nevskiaceae. The record is from RNAcentral.